This 249-nucleotide long non-coding RNA is filed under the name Lotus japonicus. Its description in RNAcentral is "long non-coding RNA (LJAP_LNC000712)". The record is from RNAcentral. Lineage: Eukaryota; Viridiplantae; Streptophyta; Magnoliopsida; Fabales; Fabaceae.
AAUACCCCAAAACCUCAAUACCCCAAAACCCCAAAUUCAAAAGAAACAUCAUACCUGAAACGCAAUCUCGAAGGAAAAACAUCAGAAACUAGACACAAAUGAAUGGAAACCCGAAUCUAUGGAAAGAUCAAACCCCGAACAACGACGCGAACAAAUCGAGAGAGCAAGAAAGCAGAAAGCGGGGGAGGGGGGGUGGGGGAACUGAUUCAUAGAAACGGGAUAUGAUUGAAGGGGAGAAUUGAUUAAUGC